Malus domestica (apple) is the source of this 1053-nucleotide non-coding RNA. Lineage: Eukaryota; Viridiplantae; Streptophyta; Magnoliopsida; Rosales; Rosaceae. The record is from RefSeq and is a predicted model, not a curated record.
UUUCCCUUCUUUAUUAUAUAUAUUUGUGGUGUUUGGAUCGGAUCAAAAAGGCUCAAAAGAUGGAAAAACAUAUAUGGCAGCCCUCUCCUUUUUAUUAUAUAUUUAUUCUUCUUUUUGGAUUUUUCGACCUCAUGCAGUAUGGGUCCUUGAACUCAUUUAAACCCACCAAACUCCUGACAACAAACUUUACUUUCUCUCUCUUUUUUUUUAUGUGACUUUUCCAAGUCCAAAAAAUUUCUCUUCCUUUCUACGUGACCAAGCUCCCACGUGAGGUGCAGCUUUAGCUUUCCCCUCUCUUGCGAAAUGGCCCCAUAAAUCCAGCUUUUCUUGACUCUAAAUUCCGGUGGUUUUCCUCUAGAAGCAAAAAACAGCCCCGCAAUACUUGGGCUCUUAAUGAUUUCGUAAUGUUUUGAAACUCUUUUCAGGUUUAUCAGCGGAUGAAUUCAGAAAUGAAUAGGGGUAAGAUUGGUGAGGUUUGAACUCUUUUGAAUUGCUCCAAUUUUAUCCUAUUUUCCUCCUAAAUCGCGGAGGCUUCUUAUGUAGGUCACCAAUUUCUUUUCUUUCUGCUGCCUCGGCUCUUCACCACUUGCUUGUCCUCUUUUGGUGGCUCGAAUUCAAAGCAAAAGAGGAAGAAGACAACCAGCAGAAGUAACAACAUCUCUUCGAUUGGUUGUUUGGACAAACAAGUGUUAAUUCAUGGCUUCAAAGGGUAUCCCCUCUCUUUGUUCUGUCCCCCUUUUUUGUUGCAGCUGAUGCCUAUUUAUAGGCAUCAUAGGAGAGUUCUAGAGCUUGUUACGUGGGGGGAAAGAUGGAGGGCAUGACUUCCUGCCACUCUCUCUUAACCUCUCUUAACUGACCCCACGUUUUUUUUCUUUGUUGCAGGAAAGGGGGAAACCUGUUUAUUACUUCCCCCUUUUGUAGGAAAUUUUCCUUAUUUUACUUAUUUAUAUUUUUUUAUUUGUUUAUGGAUAUUUAGUUUGUAUGUAAAGCCCAUUCUUAACUUUUUGGGCUGGUUUACAUUUUUAUUUUGCCUUGUAGUCUGACCCAAUUUGU